GGGACGAACGCUGGCGGCGUGCCUAACACAUGCAAGUCGAGCGGAGACAGAUUUGAGCUUGCUUAGAUCUGUUUUAGCGGCGGACGGGUGAGUAACGCGUGAGCAACCUUUCUCUCAGUGGGGAAUAACACAGGGAAACUUGUACUAAUACCGCAUAAGCGCACAGCAUCGCAUGAUGCAGUGUGAAAAACUCCGGUGGUAUGAGAUGGACCCGCGUCUGAUUAGCUAGUUGGUGGGGUAAAAGCCUACCAAGGCGACGAUCAGUAGCCGGCCUGAGAGGGUGAACGGCCACAUUGGGACUGAGACACGGCCCAAACUCCUACGGGAGGCAGCAGUGGGGAAUAUUGGGCAAUGGGGGAAACCCUGACCCAGCAACGCCGCGUGGAGGAAGAAGGUUUUCGGAUCGUAAACUCCUGUCCUCAAGGAAGAGCAGAAGACGGUACUUGAGGAGGAAGCCCCGGCUAACUACGUG
This 472-nucleotide ribosomal RNA is filed under the name uncultured bacterium. RNAcentral's name for it is "bacterial SSU rRNA". It matches the Rfam family "Bacterial small subunit ribosomal RNA", at positions 27 to 507 of the family's 1533-position model. The record is from RNAcentral.